GAUGAACGCUAGCGGCAGGCUUAACACAUGCAAGUCGAGGGGCAGCGCGGGAUAGCAAUAUCCUGGCGGCGACCGGCGGAAGGGUGCGUAACGCGUGAGCGACAUGCCCGUUGCCCGGGGACAACCGGUGGAAACGCCGACUAAUCCCCGAUGGGAUACGAUGCUUCAUGGCAUUGUAUUGAAAGUUACGGCGGCGACGGAUUGGCUCGCGUCCGAUUAGCUGGUUGGCGGGGUAACGGCCCACCAAGGCUGCGAUCGGUAGGGGGUCUGAGAGGAAGGCCCCCCACAAUGGGACUGAGACACGGCCCAUACUCCUACGGGAGGCAGCAGGGAGGAAUAUUGGUCAAUGGGCGGAAGCCUGAACCAGCCAUGCCGCGUGCGGGAAGGAGGCCCUAUGGGCUGUGAACCGCUUUUGCCUGGGGGCAAUAAGGGCGUCGCGCACGUCCGAUGAGAGUACCAGGCGAAUAAGCAUCGGCUAACUCCGUG
Molecule: ribosomal RNA, 486 nt
Filed under: uncultured bacterium
Lineage: Bacteria
Description: partial 16S ribosomal RNA
Rfam family: Bacterial small subunit ribosomal RNA
Source: RNAcentral